This 82-nucleotide transfer RNA is filed under the name Paracoccaceae bacterium. Its description in RNAcentral is "Rhodobacteraceae bacterium tRNA-Leu". It matches the Rfam family "tRNA". From Rfam's summary of the family: Transfer RNA (tRNA) molecules are approximately 80 nucleotides in length. Lineage: Bacteria; Pseudomonadati; Pseudomonadota; Alphaproteobacteria; Rhodobacterales; Paracoccaceae. The record is from RNAcentral.
GUCGAUGUGGCGGAAUUGGUAUACGCGCUAGGUUUAGGUUCUAGUGAGGCAACUCUUGAAGGUUCAAGUCCUUUCAUCGACA